Molecule: ribosomal RNA, 253 nt
Filed under: uncultured bacterium
Lineage: Bacteria
Description: partial 16S ribosomal RNA
Rfam family: Bacterial small subunit ribosomal RNA
Source: RNAcentral
UACGUAGGGGGCAAGCGUUGUCCGGAUUUACUGGGCGUAAAGCGCACGUAGGCGGCUUUGUAAGUUAGAGGUGAAAGCCCGGGGCUCAACUCCGGAACUGCCUUUAAGACUGCAUCGCUUGAAUCCAGGAGAGGUGAGUGGAAUUCCGAGUGUAGAGGUGAAAUUCGUAGAUAUUCGGAAGAACACCAGUGGCGAAGGCGGCUCACUGGCCCGGUACUGACGCUGAGGUGCGAAAGCGUGGGGAGCAAACAGG